GCUUUUUUAGUAUAUUUAGUAUGGGUUCUUUCCGAGUAUCAGGUUUAUAAGAGUAAAAAAAGUA
Molecule: transfer RNA, 64 nt
Filed under: Gononemertes parasita
Lineage: Eukaryota; Metazoa; Nemertea; Enopla; Monostilifera; Prosorhochmidae
Description: tRNA-Gly
Source: RNAcentral